RNAcentral lists this ribosomal RNA (406 nucleotides) under uncultured bacterium. RNAcentral's name for it is "partial 16S ribosomal RNA". It matches the Rfam family "Bacterial small subunit ribosomal RNA", at positions 30 to 526 of the family's 1533-position model. The record is from RNAcentral.
AUUGAACGCUGGCGGCAGGCCUAACACAUGCAAGUCGAGCGAGCGGCGGACGGGUGAGUAAUGUCUGGGGAUCUGCCCGAUAGAGGGGGAUAACUACUGGAAACGGUGGCUAAUACCGCCUACUAUCGGAUGAACCCAUAUGGGAUUAGCUAGUAGGUGGGGUAAAGGCUCACCUAGGCGACGAUCCCUAGCUGGUCUGAGAGGAUGGUCAGCCACACUGGAACUGAGACACGGCCCAGACGCCUACGGGAGGCAGCAGUGGGGAAUAUUGCACAAUGGGCGCAAGCCUGAUGCAGCCAUGCCGCGUGUAUGAAGAAGGCCUUGGGGUUGUAAAGUACUUUCAGCGGGGAGGCGUUACCCGCAGAAGAAGCACCGGCGAACUACGUGCCAGCAGCCGCGGUAAUUC